CUUUCAUGAUGGACUUUAAGGAAAAAGUAGGUCAGAGAUUUAUAUUCUCCUCAAGCCUUACCCAGUAUAAUUGAAUCGAUGGGCUUGUAAUUUUUUUCAGAUGCCAUUACAUCUCCUUGGAACUGCUCUUUGUAAAUUGUAAAUUGACAGCUCAAUCUUCUUGUCAGGUUCUGAAAGCAUAUAUCCUCAGACUAUUCCAGAAAGUAUCUGGGAACUCUAUUACAAAGGAGCCAGGCAAUCACGGGAAAGUCCUUCUAGAACAAGGCUCCCUGCCAUUGCUUUCCACAUAGAACUCUGGUGUACCUGCUGGUCCCAGGUGGGUGGGACUUACAGCCUGGGAGCUGCUCUGUCCAUGCAGAGGUAAACAGCACUUGCAUCUGAUAAGAGGUCUGGCCACCCAACUGUAGGCUUUUCAGGUUUCUAAUGCCUGAGAGACAAUAUGCAUUUUUACUGAAAGUUGCUUCACAAUAAGGUUAACUCUAAAGAAGACUGGGACACAUGUGAUUUUUAUCAUUGUGCCUUAGGCUGUCAUGCCGAAGGAAGACAUUAUUAUUUACAGGUAAGUACACUAAGUCUUACCGAAGUCAAUCCAGUCCUCAGAGCCAAUAAAC
Molecule: long non-coding RNA, 611 nt
Filed under: Marmota monax (woodchuck)
Lineage: Eukaryota; Metazoa; Chordata; Mammalia; Rodentia; Sciuridae
Source: RNAcentral